Micropterus dolomieu (smallmouth bass) is the source of this 1036-nucleotide long non-coding RNA. RefSeq lists it as uncharacterized. NCBI's taxonomy places the organism in Eukaryota, Metazoa, Chordata, Actinopteri, Centrarchiformes, Centrarchidae. The transcript is spliced from 4 exons. The record is from RefSeq and is a predicted model, not a curated record.
UUAGGUGUGAGUUUGGUUCUGCCUUGGGUGCAGCUCUCCCAGAUGCUGUUUGCCAUGUGGUUUCCGAUGGCAGCUAGGACUUGCGUGAGCUCUCCGGGCCAGUCGUCCAGGUCCAGCGAGCGAACGCGAGACAGGACUGCAGGCUGGCCAGGAUCUGGCUCUCUAUAGCUGACACCCACGAGUCCCUCUCCUCCAAACUCUGAGCCUCGAAGUGCCACGUCUGCCCGGUGAAGGUCACUAUGAUAAAGUCAGCAUUCUCUUCAUCUGCAAGUAAAAAUGAAAACUCCAGAGAUGAUUGGCCGGGGUCUUUCCCAGCAAAAGGACUUGCUGCCCCUUCAAGAGCAUCUGACAUUCGACAACGAGGAGGGGCAGCGUUGAAGUCCUCUGUCUCCUCCUUGAGGUGACAAACCACCAGACCGGUCAUCAACCACAGAAAGGGUGGCAGGACACAACUGAGGAACUGACAGAGGAAGUGAGAAGUUUAUAUACAGUAAAUCAUAUUCAUAUGAUGUGCAAGAGUGAAAUCAUAUGUUAUUCGUUAUGCAGAAUACUCCUUUGUUAGUGUUGCAUUAUCAUGUUAUAAGAUCAGUAAGCAGGCACUUUAAUAUUGUGGCUGUUUAAGUUAAAGCUAAUAUUAACUGCUUCACAUACUUGGGUAGUUUAAUUUAAUUUAUUACAAUAAUAUUUUACAAAUUCAAUCUGAAAAGUGAUUGUAGUUGUUAAAUUAAUUAAGAAAGUACAAUACUUCCCUCUGAAAUGUACUUGUGUAGAAGUAUAAAAUAGCGUAAAAUGGAAAAACGCAACUGUACAAAAAAAAAAUAUUUACUUCUUCAGUAUGAAAGUGUGAACUUGGGGCAGAGUGACAGAAACAAUAUAGGGUGAAGUAUUUAGCGACAGACUAACACAGUGUUGAUUUUGAUCUUUUCAUGGGGUUUGUAGUUAUGCUGCUAUAGGCCUACACUGCAGGGGGAUUUCCCAUGAUGCACUGAGCUCCUCUCUCCUCUACUUUCUCUCCCUCUGUAUGCAACCUCAUCCC